RNAcentral lists this transfer RNA (73 nucleotides) under Plicaturopsis crispa FD-325 SS-3. RNAcentral's name for it is "tRNA-Arg (TCG) (tRNA-Arg-TCG-1-1)". It matches the Rfam family "tRNA". Rfam says of the family: Transfer RNA (tRNA) molecules are approximately 80 nucleotides in length. Their secondary structure includes four short double-helical elements and three loops (D, anti-codon, and T loops). The record is from RNAcentral. Lineage: Eukaryota; Fungi; Basidiomycota; Agaricomycetes; Amylocorticiales; Amylocorticiaceae.
GCCCUGCUGGCGCAAUGGUUAGCGUGCUUGACUUCGAAUCAAGAGGUUGUGGGUUCGAACCCCACGCGGGGUU